AUUGAACGCUGGCGGAAUGCUUUACACAUGCGAGUCGAACGGCAGCACGGGGGCAACCCUGGUGGCGAGUGGCGAACGGGUGAGUAAUACAUCGGAACGUGCCCAGUCGUGGGGGAUAACGUAGCGAAAGUUACGCUAAUACCGCAUACGAUCUACGGAUGAAAGCGGGGGACCGUAAGGCCUCGCGCGAUUGGAGCGGCCGAUGUCAGAUUAGGUAGUUGGUGAGGUAAAGGCUCACCAAGCCGACGAUCUGUAGCUGGUCUGAGAGGACGACAGCCACACUGGGACUGAGACACGGCCCAGACUCCUACGGGAGGCAGCAGUGGGGAAUUUUGGACAAUGGGCGCAAGCCUGAUCCAGCCAUUCCGCGUGCAGGACGAAGGCCUUCGGGUUGUAAACUGCUUUUGUACGGAACGAAAAGGCUCUGGUUAAUACCUGGGGCUCAUGACGGUACCGUAAGAAUAAGCACCGGCUAACUACGUGCCAGCCGCCGCAGUAA
RNAcentral lists this ribosomal RNA (499 nucleotides) under uncultured bacterium. Its description in RNAcentral is "partial 16S ribosomal RNA". It matches the Rfam family "Bacterial small subunit ribosomal RNA", at positions 30 to 523 of the family's 1533-position model. The record is from RNAcentral.